This 492-nucleotide ribosomal RNA is filed under the name uncultured bacterium. RNAcentral describes it as "partial 16S ribosomal RNA". It matches the Rfam family "Bacterial small subunit ribosomal RNA", at positions 29 to 507 of the family's 1533-position model. The record is from RNAcentral.
AGUGAACGCUGGCGGUAGGCCUAACACAUGCAAGUCGAACGGCAGCACAGUAAGAGCUUGCUCUUACUGGUGGCGAGUGGCGGACGGGUGAGGAAUACAUCGGAAUCUACUUUUUCGUGGGGGAUAACGUAGGGAAACUUCCGCUAAUACCGCAUACGACCUACGGGUGAAAGCAGGGGAUCUUCGGACCUUGCGCGAUUGAAUGAGCCGAUGUCGGAUUAGCUAGUUGGCGGGGUAAAGGCCCACCAAGGCGACGAUCCGUAGCUGGUCUGAGAGGAUGAUCAGCCACACUGGAACUGAGACACGGUCCAGACUCCUACGGGAGGCAGCAGUGGGGAAUAUUGGACAAUGGGCGCAAGCCUGAUCCAGCCAUACCGCGUGAGUGAAGAAGGCCUUCGGAUUGUAAAGCCCUGUUGUUGGGAAAGAAAAGCAGCAGGUUAAUACCCCGCUGUUCUGACGGUACCCAAAGAAUAAGCACCGGCUAACUUCGUG